AUGCCUAGGCUACCACGGAGCCGAACAACGAUGUUGUUCAGCCUGUCACCUAACACCAUCAAGGAGGAGGAGCGUGGCCGAAAGACGGCGGCCAGUCCGACCAUGUGCUCACUUCACCCCCUUCUCCCUUCCAAUUUUGGAUUUGAUCUGGACGCCGCCGUCGCCGUGGUUGCCUCGCCGUCGUGGCUCAGGUGCCCAUUGUGA
RNAcentral lists this ribosomal RNA (204 nucleotides) under Triticum aestivum (bread wheat). RNAcentral's name for it is "partial small subunit ribosomal RNA". Lineage: Eukaryota; Viridiplantae; Streptophyta; Magnoliopsida; Poales; Poaceae. The record is from RNAcentral.